This 72-nucleotide transfer RNA is filed under the name Endomicrobium sp. RNAcentral describes it as "tRNA-Gly". It matches the Rfam family "tRNA". From Rfam's summary of the family: Transfer RNA (tRNA) molecules are approximately 80 nucleotides in length. Their secondary structure includes four short double-helical elements and three loops (D, anti-codon, and T loops). Further hydrogen bonds mediate the characteristic L-shaped molecular structure. tRNAs have two regions of fundamental functional importance: the anti-codon, which is responsible for specific mRNA codon recognition, and the 3' end, to which the tRNAs corresponding amino acid is attached (by aminoacyl-tRNA synthetases). tRNAs cope with the degeneracy of the genetic code in two manners: having more than one tRNA (with a specific anti-codon) for a particular amino acid; and 'wobble' base-pairing, i.e. permitting non-standard base-pairing at the 3rd anti-codon position. The record is from RNAcentral. Lineage: Bacteria; Pseudomonadati; Elusimicrobiota; Endomicrobiia; Endomicrobiales; Endomicrobiaceae. RNAcentral also lists the same sequence under 3 other names.
GCGGGUGUAGUUCAGUGGUAGAACGUCUCGUUGCCAACGAGAAGGUCGUGGGUUCAAAUCCCAUCGCCCGCU